Dipodomys ordii (Ord's kangaroo rat) is the source of this 1039-nucleotide long non-coding RNA. RefSeq lists it as uncharacterized. The record is from RefSeq and is a predicted model, not a curated record. The transcript is spliced from 2 exons. NCBI's taxonomy places the organism in Eukaryota, Metazoa, Chordata, Mammalia, Rodentia, Heteromyidae.
UCUGACAAGUCUCCUUUUCUCCAAAUACAGGCCUCUAAGACUGCAGAGAAUGCCACCAGUGGGGAAACAUUAGAAGACAAUGAAGCUGGGGACUGAGGACCGCCAGCAGAGCAGGGUCUCCCUGUCCCCAUCCCAGUACCCCCACCCAGCCCUUCCAACAACAACCAGCUCCAACUGACUGCUCUUGGGAAGCCAGGCUUCCCAAUACCGAAGACUACUUUAAAUAGAAAAAAAGAAAUGGAAUAAUAAAAUCAGGAGUCAAAAGUCCAUCGUCUUCAAGCCCUCUUUCUAGCCUUUUCUACUACUCUGCUUGGUCAAGGUGUGUGGCCCUGCAGCAGAACAGGGAGGAGGCUAAAUUAGCCACCAUCAUUAAAACUUCAGCUGAAAAAAAAUUUUUUUUAUACCACUCUGAUAUCAGCAUUUUCUCAUCUACUUGGGGCUUUUUUUCCCCCCUCUUAUUGCCCCACUUUGCCCGAGCAUUUUGUCUGCCCUCAAAAUUACUAAAGAGGACCUGUUCUUCAGAUUAUUUUUACCUGUGGCAGAUGCAUCCAUUUGGGCCUUCCUUAGGAACUGAAGUCUCCCUUUUAUGAAGAGAUUCUCAUCUAUCAAGUGGAUCCCUGUUCGAAUGGUUUUUUUUUUUUUUUUUGUCAUUUUUGUUCUGCAAGAUGUCCCCUCUGUGCACGCACCCCUAAUUUCCACAAAGCGUAAAGAAAUAAUCCAGUUCAGCCUUUACUCCAGUCAGUGGGGGCUUCCCUUGCUCUCUCUUACACAACCUAAGCUGGAAGUUCAACUGUGGUUUAUACCCUGUUUGAACUAUCUUGACCUCUCUCACUGGAAAGAACCCAGAAACCAGAAGAGUACACUGAAGAGUCAACUCCUAGCCUUCUGAAGCUGUGGACUUAGGAUUGGAUGAGUUGCUAGGGGUUUUUAGACCUGACAAAAUUCAAUACCUCUGGCAUGCUGACCCAGGGAACUAGGGCUCCCACUAACUUAGGAGGUUUUUAAGAUGACAUUAAAAUAAAUUUGGAUUUGCUCAUAA